RNAcentral lists this non-coding RNA (30 nucleotides) under Homo sapiens (human). Lineage: Eukaryota; Metazoa; Chordata; Mammalia; Primates; Hominidae. The record is from RNAcentral.
UACAGCAAUGGAAGCAGAUGCUUUGGUCAA